Molecule: non-coding RNA, 30 nt
Filed under: Rattus norvegicus (Norway rat)
Lineage: Eukaryota; Metazoa; Chordata; Mammalia; Rodentia; Muridae
Source: RNAcentral
UGGGACUCAACCACAGGUUGUUGUGAGGGU